RNAcentral lists this ribosomal RNA (287 nucleotides) under uncultured bacterium. RNAcentral's name for it is "partial 16S ribosomal RNA". It matches the Rfam family "Bacterial small subunit ribosomal RNA", at positions 336 to 641 of the family's 1533-position model. The record is from RNAcentral.
UUCCUACGGGACGCAGCAGUGGGGAAUAUUGCACAAUGGGGGGAACCCUGAUGCAGCGACGCCGCGUGGGUGAGGAAGUACUUCGGUAUGUAAAGCCCUAUCAGCAGGGAAGAAAAUGACGGUACCUGACUAAGAAGCCCCGGCUAACUACGUGCCAGCAGCCGCGGUAAUACGUAGGGGGCAAGCGUUAUCCGGAUUUACUGGGUGUAAAGGGUGCGUAGGCGGCCUGCUAAGUCUGGAGUGAAAGGUACCGGCUCAACCGGUACAGGCUCUGGAAACUGGCGGGC